This 218-nucleotide unclassified non-coding RNA is filed under the name uncultured Tomentella. RNAcentral's name for it is "sequence contains ITS2". Lineage: Eukaryota; Fungi; Basidiomycota; Agaricomycetes; Thelephorales; Thelephoraceae. The record is from RNAcentral.
ACACCUCAACUCUCAUGGUCUGCCAUGAUGAGCUUGGACUUUGGGGGUCUUGCUGGCGUAACCGUCGGCUCCUCUAAAACGAAUCAGCUUGCCAGUGUUUGGUGGCGUCACAGGUGUGAUAACUAUCUACGCUUGUGGUCUUCCAUCAGGUUACCUUCAGUAAUGGGGGUUCGCUGGAGCUCACAGACGUCUCUCCUCAGUGAGGACAGCUUUUUAAC